This 253-nucleotide ribosomal RNA is filed under the name uncultured bacterium. Its description in RNAcentral is "partial 16S ribosomal RNA". It matches the Rfam family "Bacterial small subunit ribosomal RNA", at positions 524 to 776 of the family's 1533-position model. The record is from RNAcentral.
CACGGAGGAUCCAAGCGUUAUCCGGAUUUAUUGGGUUUAAAGGGUGCGUAGGCGGUUAAUUAAGUUAGAGGUGAAAUCCCGGGGCUCAACCCUGGAACUGCCUCUGAUACUGGUUGGCUAGAGUAUAGUUGCUGUGGGCGGAAUGUAUGGUGUAGCGGUGAAAUGCUUAGAGAUCAUACAGAACACCGAUUGCGAAGGCAGCUCACAAAGCUAUUACUGACGCUGAGGCACGAAAGCGUGGGGAGCAAACAGG